UGUGUACUCCCUUCGUUCCAAAAUACUUGACUUCCAUUUGUCCAAAAAUGGAUGUACCUAUAUACUAAAACAUGUCUAGAUACAUCUAUAUUUUGACAAAUAGAAGGCAUGUAUUGUGGAACGGAGGGAGUAGAAU
Non-coding RNA from Triticum aestivum (bread wheat), 136 nucleotides. Lineage: Eukaryota; Viridiplantae; Streptophyta; Magnoliopsida; Poales; Poaceae. The record is from Rfam.